CGAGCUCGCAGUGGAGCCCUGGCUCCACCAGGGAGUGCUCCGGCUCUCUGCACAAGACGGAAGCAAUAACACAAAAAAACCGCACACGACAGGAAAGACACGCGCAAGCGGCGGAGGAAACCGCCACCACGACUCGACUCGCGCAUGCGCGACGGGGUUGUUUUUCACAAAGCUGUUCGCAAAGUGAGCUGGUAGUGUGUGGGCAGCUGUCUUUGUGAGAUCGCAGCGCUGGGCGGCUGUCGUCUCUUCAGUAAUUCCGAUGAAGCGUUUGUAGGGGACACGCUGGUCUUGUUGGCAGGUUCUUUGUGUGGCAGAGGCGUUGUUCAGUCUAAAGUGAAGAUCGCAUUUUGUAUGAGACCUUGACUUUUUUUUUCUUACAGUAUAUUUUUAUAGACUUUGUUAUAAAAUAUGGUGCUGGGAAAGGUGAAGAGUUUGACGAUAAGCUUUGACUGUCUCAAUGACAGCAAUAUCCCUGUCUAUUCUAGCGGGGACACAGUCUCAGGAAGGGUCGGUUUAGAAGUUACUGGGGAUAUUAGAGUAAAAUCUCUUAAAAUUCAUGCAAGAGGACGUGCAAAAGUACGUUGGACUGAAUCUAGAAAUGCUGGAUCCAACACUGCCUAUACACAAAAUUACACUGAAGAAGUAGAGUAUUUUAACCAUAAGGACGUUCUACUCGGGCACGAAAGAGAUGAUGACAAUUCUGAAGAAGGCCUUCACACCAUUCAUUCAGGAAGGCAUGAAUAUGCAUUCAGCUUUGAGCUUCCACAGAUACCACUUGCUACCUCAUUCGAAGGCAGACAUGGCAGUGUACGCUAUUGGGUGAAAGCUGAAUUGCAUAGGCCUUGGCUUCUACCAGUAAAAUUAAAGAAGGAAUUUACAGUCUUUGAACAUAUAGAUAUCAACACUCCUUCGUUACUGUCACCCCAAGCAGGCACAAAAGAAAAGACUCUCUGUUGUUGGCUUUGUACCUCAGGCCCGAUAUCCUUAAGUGCCAAAAUUGAAAGAAAGGGCUAUACCCCAGGUGAAUCAAUUCAGAUCUUUGCUGAGAUUGAGAAUUGCUCUUCCCGUAUGGUGGUGCCAAAGGCAACCAUUUACCAAACACAGGCAUUCUAUGCCAAAGGGAAAAUGAAGGAAGUCAAACAGCUUGUUGCCAACCUCCGUGGGGAAUCCUUGUCAUCUGGCAAAACGGAAACCUGGAAUGGCAAACAGUUGAAAAUUCCACCUGUUUCCCCUUCAAUCCUUGACUGUAGUAUAAUCCAUGUGGAGUAUUCAUUGAUGGUAUAUGUUGAUAUUCCAGGAGCCAUGGAUUUAUUCCUUAACUUACCACUGGUCAUUGGUACCAUUCCUCUACAUCCAUUUGGUAGCAGAACAUCAAGUGUGAGCAGCCAGGGUAGCAUGAACAUGAAUUGGCUUGGUCUGACGCUGCCUGAAAGACCAGAAGCACCUCCCAGCUAUGCAGAAGUGGUCACAGAGGAAAACAGACAGUCCAGCCUUGCACCUAUAGAUGCUUUUGAUGAUUUUGAGAGAGCCCUUCAAGGACCAUUAUUUGCAUAUAUCCAGGAGUUCCGUUUUCUGCCUCCGCCCCUAUAUUCAGAAGUUUAUUUUUAACAUGAACUCUGCAACCUUAAAUUUAAAAGGUGCUCUGUGAGGUGCCUUGGCUUCUCUAUCAUGCUAUUUCCUGCAGCUGCAGACCUGGAAGAUUGAUCCAAACCCAGAUCAGCCCACAGAUGAGAGACCAUCUUGCCCCUCUUGUUGAAGGAAUCCAUAAAAAGCUGACUUGACUUGGGUUUUGAAUCACACCUGCUGUGUUGAAGAUCAAGGUGUCAUAGUGGAGACUUGCUUUUAAAGGAAAUGGUAUUGCUAUGCUUGUAUAGUGAAUAAAUGAAAACAACCUGUGAUCAUACUUUGACACCUGCAGCACAUCAUAGGACUGUUCCACAUGCUUGAAAACCUGAGGCCCCCUCCCUUAAAUAGUGGCACAUACUAGGAGCAACCUUACUAGUGUACAGUCGUGUUUCAAAAAACUCAAACCACGUUGUAAGGGAGAAAUGGCUGCUUCUUAUGAUUUGAAAAUUUGCACAUGCUUAUUGCUUAUGUUAUGCAGUUCAGUGUCACUACAGCUUUUUCUCAUUUAUGAUGGACUGUUGUUACCACCCCCCCCCCAAUUGUUUGUGAUCUGCACAACAAGGAACAAAAGAAAGCUUUGACAAAAAAAAAAAAGGCGAUGAAGACUGACAAAUGCACUGACUUUUUUUAAAUUUAAUGUAGCCUGGACUUUACCUGCAUAUGCACAUGCUCAGAAUUGUCCUAGUAGGCUGAUCAUGUAUCAUCUCUUCAGCUUGGGUCCUAUUGUGGAUUUAUUUACAAACAUCACAUGCCUUUAAGCCAAUCCUUCUUGCUGUAUGUUUUGCAGCCAACUGUAGUAGACAAGCAACAGAUAUGUGGGGGUGGGGGCAGAGAUAACAGAAGGAAACCAAUAAGAGGCUUUAUCAAGAUUGUAUACCUUCUUGAUUUCUUUUAAUAAUUUGUUGCCUUUCUGCUAUUAUUGCAAAGCAACAUUUUUGUUACAGACUGCUUAAAGAUCACUUAAUCUCAGGUGAACUCAUCACUUGCCAAACUGUUAGAAUGCUAUUUGUUUUGUUACAUUGCACUGUUGAGUUAUUUCUUUUUGUUUUGUGUUCAUGAUUUGGUUUUGUUCUUUGAGGGGGAUUCUGAAUGGGGACAUGCACAAAACUUAUGAAGUGAAAGCAGCACCAGCAGCCACUAGUAAAGUGUGAAAAGAACUUUAAAAGGGGAUAGUCGUAUGCUGUCCAGGGUUCAUAGGCAGAGAGAUAUCUCAACUAGUAAGGAUGGGAAGGAGAAGGUUUGUUUGUUGGUUUGUGUUUGUGUUUUUAAAAUAAUACGUAGUUACCUAAUCACCAAAAAUUAUAUGUAAAAUGAGUCUCCAGUAGAAAGUAUAUUUCAGACUGCAAGAAAAGUUUGAACUAUGACAACAGCUCAGUUUGUGCACUUUGUAUUAUCUUCAGGGUUUAAGAUACUGUAUCAUAGAAUUAUAGAAUACCAGGUUGGAAGGGACCUCAAGGAUCAUCUGGUCCAACCUUUCUUGGCAAAAGCACGGUCUAGACAAGAUGGCCCAGCACCCUGUCCAGCCGAAUCUUAAAAGUGUCCAAUGUUGGGGAAUCCACCGCUUCCCUGGGGAGAUUAUUCCAAUGGCUGAUUGUUCUCAUUGUGAAAAAUUUUCCUCUUGUGUCCAGUUGGAAUCUCCCUAGGAGGAACUUGUACCCAUUACCCCUUGUCUUUUCCAUGUGACUCCUUGUAAAAAGGGAGUCUCCAUUUUCUUUGUAGCCACCCUUUAAAUACUGGAACAUGGUGAUAAGGUCUCCCCUAAGCCUUCUUUUCUCAAGGCUGAACAAACCCAGUUCUCUCAGCCUUCGCUCAUAUGGCAGGCUUCCCAGUCCUUUGAUCAUCUUUGUGGCCCUUCUCUGGACCCUCUCCAGCCUGUCCACAUCUUUUUUGCAUAGCGGGGACCAAAACUGAACACAGUAUUCCAGGUGUGGCCUGACAAGUGCUGAGUGGGAUAAUGACUUCUUUAUCUCUGCUGGUGAUGCCCUUGUUGAUGCAACCCAGCAUCCUGUUGGCUUGCUUUGCCACAGCAGCACGCUGUUCGCUCAUAUUGAGCUUGUUGUCCAUCAGGACCCCCAGGUCCCUUUCCACAGAGCUGCUCCCCAGCCGGGUAGAUCCCAGCCUGUGCUGCACUCCUUGAUUAUGUUUUCCCAGGUGCAAGACCUUACACUUGUCCUUGUUGAACUUCAUAAGGUUCUUGUUAACCCACUCUUCCAGCCUAUCCAGGUCUUCCUGCAGGGUGGCUCUCCUUUCUGAAGUGUCCACUUCCCCACUCAGUUUGGUAUCAUCGGCAAACUUCAUCAGGAUACACUUGAUCCCAUCAUCCAGAUCACUUAUGAAGGUAUUAAACAGCGUUGGGCCCAAUAUUGAUCCCUGGGGGACCCCACUUGUGCCAGGUUGCCAGUUUGAAAAGGAGCUAUUUACCACCACCCUCUGGGUGCGGCCUGUCAGCCAGUUCCCCACUCACCACACGGACCACUUGUCUAGACCGUAAUGCAUCAGUUUCUCUAGGAAGAGGCUGUGGGAAACUGUAUCGAAAGUGUUGGAGAAAUCCAGGUAGACAAUGUCCACUGCUCGCCCCACAUCAACCGAGCAGGUUACUUUGUUGUAGGUGGCGAUCAAGUUUGUCAAGCACAAUUUGCCCUUGGUGAAUCCGUGCUGGCUUUUCCCAAUCACGUGCUUCAUUUGACUUGUGAUAGUCCCCAGGAGGAUUUGUUCCAUAGCUUUCCCAGGGACUGAAGUAAGACUGAUGGGCCUAUAAUUUCCUGGAUCCUCCUUUAAGCCCUUCUUGUAGAUGGGGGUGACAUUAGCCUUCUUCCAGUCUUCUGGGAUGUCCCUGAUCUCCAUGACUUCUCAAAGAUUAUGGAGAGCGGCCUCGCAACAACGUCAGCCAGCUCUCUUAACGCCCUCGGGUGGAUAUUGUCAGGGCCCAUUGAUUUGUAGGGGUCAAGCUCCUGUAAUAGUUCACAUACCAACUCUUCCUUCACUGAUGGUGGGUCUGUGUUUGCAUCAACGUGAAUUUUUGUUCCCAAGGCCUGGGGCCCAACAGUGCUGGUAAAGACAGAGGGGAAAAAAGUGUUGAGAACCUCUGCCUUUUCAGCGUUGUUGGUGACUAAUUCACCUCUCCUGUUUAACAGUGGGUCAAUAUUUUCCUUCUGUUUCUGCUUGUUGUUUAUGUACCUGAAGAACCCUUUCUUGUAGUUUUUGACAUCUCUGGUCAAUUUCAACUUGAGCUGAGCUUUUGCUUUUCUAACUGCAUCUCUGCACGCCCUGGCAAUGCCCUUGUAGUUCUCAACGGGUAUUUGUCUGCUUUUCCAUCUCUGGUACGCUUCUCUUUUGGUUUUGAGCAGACUCAGAAGCUCACAGUUAAGCCAAGGGUGUCUCUUGCUCCGCCUACUUCCCUUACCUUUAAAGGGGAUGAACUGCUUUUGUGCUUCCAGGAGAAGGGGGUUUUGUGCUCAGAAGGGAGGGGGAGAGAGAAAGCUGGUGUUUCUGCAUUGUGCUCAUUCUUACAAAGUUCUGCCUUAUUUUUAAGGCUUCAUAAAUAUGACAAAAUAGGCUUUUCAUAAGUGGCCUUUAUGAGAACAUGAAAGCUAUUUCAUGUUUCAAAAAUGAUGACAGGGUGAUUACAACGAGAGUCACGUUUUAAGUGAUUCAGUUCAAAGGUUUGGGCUUUGAUAAGCAAGAAUUGGAAAUUGGGUGAUGUCUUAUGAUGGCCAAUUUUGUGAAUGUCCCUUCCUUCUACCCUCUCCAACCAGACAAAAUUUUAAAAGUUGGUAAGAUUUUUGACAUAAAAGGGCAUUUGGUAAUUUUUACUGGUUUUUUGUUGUUUUAAUAGACUAGGGAACAAUUGCUGAUAUACAUAGCAUUAAAGUACUUAUCCCAGUAUAAUGGAAAACUAUGAAGCAGAAUUGACCAAUGUUGUAGUAAUUGACAUUGCAUCACAGGCUGUGAUCAGAGUGAAAUAUUCUAAAACCUUAUCAAAUAAAGACUUCCCAUUUAAACUUU
Molecule: RNA transcript, 5631 nt
Organism: Harpia harpyja (harpy eagle)
Lineage: Eukaryota; Metazoa; Chordata; Aves; Accipitriformes; Accipitridae
Gene name: arrestin domain-containing protein 3-like
Exons: 9
Source: RefSeq, a predicted model, not a curated record